UGGGGAAUAUUGCACAAUGGGCGCAAGCCUGAUGCAGCCAUGCCGCGUGUAUGAAGAAGGCCUUCGGGUUGUAAAGUACUUUCAGUGAGGAGGAAGGCGUUGUGGUUAAUAACCGCAGCGAUUGACGUUACUCGCAGAAGAAGCACCGGCUAACUCCGUGCCAGCAGCCGCGGUAAUACGGAGGGUGCAAGCGUUAAUCGGAAUUACUGGGCGUAAAGCGCACGCAGGCGGUCUGUCAAGUCGGAUGUGAAAUCCCCGGGCUCAACCUGGGAACUGCAUCCGAAACUGGCAGGCUAGAGUCUUGUAGAGGGGGGUAGAAUUCCAGGUGUAGCGGUGAAAUGCGUAGAGAUCUGGAGGAAUACCGGUGGCGAAGGCGGCCCCCUGGACAAAGACUGACGCUCAGGUGCGAAAGCGUGGGGAGCAAACA
This 427-nucleotide ribosomal RNA is filed under the name uncultured bacterium. RNAcentral describes it as "partial 16S ribosomal RNA". It matches the Rfam family "Bacterial small subunit ribosomal RNA", at positions 355 to 774 of the family's 1533-position model. The record is from RNAcentral.